Molecule: ribosomal RNA, 442 nt
Filed under: uncultured bacterium
Lineage: Bacteria
Description: partial 16S ribosomal RNA
Rfam family: Bacterial small subunit ribosomal RNA
Source: RNAcentral
CCUACGGGAGGCAGCAGUGGGGGAUAUUGCACAAUGGGGGAAACCCUGAUGCAGCGACGCCGCGUGGGCGAAGAAGUAUUUCGGUAUGUAAAGCCCUAUCAGCAGGGAAGAAGAAAUGACGGUACCUGAGUAAGAAGCACCUGCUAAAUACGUGCCAGCAGCCGCGGUAAUACGGAUGGUGCACGCGUUAUCCGGAUUUACUGGGUGUAAAGGGAGCGCAGGCGGCACGGCAAUCCUGAUGGGAAAGCCUGCGGCGCAAAAGCGGGAGUGCAUUGGGAACUACCGGGCUGGAGUGGCGGAGAGGUAGGCGGAAUGCCUGGUGUAGCGGUGAAAUGCAUAGAUAUUAGGAGGAACGCCAGUGGCGAAGGCGGCAUACUGGCGGGCGACUGACGCUGAGGCUCGAAAGCGUGGGGAGCGAACAGGAUUAGAUACCCUAGUAGUC